AGUGAACGCUGGCGGCAGGCCUAACACAUGCAAGUCGAACGGCAGCACAGAGGAGCUUGCUCCUUGGGUGGCGAGUGGCGGACGGGUGAGGAAUACGUCGGAAUCUGCCUAUUUGUGGGGGAUAACGUAGGGAAACUUACGCUAAUACCGCAUACGACCUACGGGUGAAAGCGGAGGACCUUCGGGCUUCGCGCAGAUAGAUGAGCCGACGUCGGAUUAGCUAGUUGGCGGGGUAAAGGCCCACCAAGGCGACGAUCCGUAGCUGGUCUGUGAGGAUGAUCAGCCACACUGGAACUGAGACACGGUCCAGACUCCUACGGGAGGCAGCAGUGGGGAAUAUUGGACAAUGGGCGCAAGCCUGAUCCAGCCAUGCCGCGUGUGUGAAGAAGGCCUUCGGGUUGUAAAGCACUUUUGUCCGGAAAGAAAAGCUUCGGGUUAAUACCCCGGGGUCCUGACGGUACCGGAAGAAUAAGCACCGGCUAACUUCGUGCCAGCAGCCGCGGUAAUACGAAGGGUGCAAGCGUUACUCGGAAUUACUGGGCGUAAAGCGUGCGUAGGUGGUUUGUUAAGUCUGAUGUGAAAGCCCUGGGCUCAACCUGGGAAUUGCAUUGGAUACUGGCAGGCUAGAGUGCGGUAGAGGAUGGCGGAAUUCCCGGUGUAGCAGCAAAAUGCGUAGAGAUCGGGAGGAACAUCUGUGGCGAAGGCGGCCAUCUGGACCAGCACUGACACUGAGGCACGAAAGCGUGGGGAGCAAACAGGAUUAGAUACCCUGGUAGUCCACGCCCUAAACGAUGCGAACUGGAUGUUGGGAGCAAUUACGCUCUCAGUAUCGAAGCUAACGCGUUAAGUUCGCCGCCUGGGG
RNAcentral lists this ribosomal RNA (862 nucleotides) under uncultured bacterium. RNAcentral describes it as "bacterial SSU rRNA". It matches the Rfam family "Bacterial small subunit ribosomal RNA", at positions 28 to 878 of the family's 1533-position model. The record is from RNAcentral.